This 670-nucleotide long non-coding RNA is filed under the name Homo sapiens (human). Its description in RNAcentral is "HSALNT0040097". The record is from RNAcentral. Lineage: Eukaryota; Metazoa; Chordata; Mammalia; Primates; Hominidae.
UUUUUAUCUAGACUGUGUCUUUAAAGUGGUGGAAAUGACCAAUUCUGUGUCUUAGGAGGGAGGUGGCAUGAAGCCGGGAAAUGACUGAGGAAGGGAUACUGAUAUGAAAUGAUUUAUUUCUGGAAAAUGCUCUUGGACUGUCCCCCUUCAGGUGUCCUGGUGCAGGCUUUCAGGGAAGGGAGAGCCCCUAACCUCGCCCCACCUCCCAAAACUUCUCCCCCUGCCGUCGGGCUAUGGUCCCUGGUUCCCUUCACGCCCCCACCCCCAGCCUCAGCUCUGUCUGGGUGGAACGAAUGUCUGCUAAUGAACUAAACAAACAGGUCUCUUAAUCUUAUCAUGGAGCUGACCCAGAGACUGGCACAGAUAUCCAAAGUAUCAUAAUUGGCAGGUCAGAAUUAAAACUACAUACAUCAUGGUGACUUUAUAGCUGAGGCAAAGUGGAGCUCAAGUGUUACUUUCCCAGUAAGCAAAUCAUGAUGAAGUAUCAUGCUGGUGACUAAUUUAACUAACAUUGUCCAGGAAAUUGCUGUUGUCCAGGAAGAGAAGAGUUGAGCCGAGUGUCAACUACUAGGCUUCUGGCACCAUCCUGCACAAGAAAUUGGAGCAUAAGGGACAUUUCCACAUUCUAACUUUACAUGAAGACUCAGGACUUUGAAAGCCCAUGAGAAAG